CCUUUGACGUUAGCGGCGGACGGGUGAGUAACACGUGGGUAACCUACCUAUAAGACUGGGAUAACUUCGGGAAACCGGAGCUAAUACCGGAUAAUAUUUCGAACCGCAUGGUUCGAUAGUGAAAGGUGGUUUUGCUAUCACUUAUAGAUGGACCCGCGCCGUAUUAGCUAGUUGGUAAGGUAACGGCUUACCAAGGCGACGAUACGCAGCCGACCUGAGAGGGUGAUCGGCCACACUGGAACUGAGACACGGUCCAGACUCCUACGGGAGGCAGCAGGG
This 279-nucleotide ribosomal RNA is filed under the name uncultured Staphylococcus sp. Its description in RNAcentral is "partial 16S ribosomal RNA". It matches the Rfam family "Bacterial small subunit ribosomal RNA", at positions 83 to 354 of the family's 1533-position model. Lineage: Bacteria; Bacillati; Bacillota; Bacilli; Caryophanales; Staphylococcaceae. The record is from RNAcentral.